GAUGAACGCUGACAGAAUGCUUAACACAUGCAAGUCAACUUGAACUUCGGUUUGGGUGGCGGACGGGUGAGUAACGCGUAAAGAACUUGCCUCACAGUUAGGGACAACAUUUGGAAGCGAAUGCUAAUACCUGAUAUUAUGAUUUUAGGGCAUCCUAGAAUUAUGAAAGCUAUAUGCGCUGUGAGAGAGCUUUGCGUCCCAUUAGCUAGUUGGAGAGGUAACGGCUCACCAAGGCGAUGAUGGGUAGCCGGCCUGAGAGGGUGAACGGCCACAAGGGGACUGAGACACGGCCCUUACUCCUACGGGAGGCAGCAGUGGGGAAUAUUGGACAAUGGACCAAGAGUCUGAUCCAGCAAUUCUGUGUGCACGAUGAAGUUUUUCGGAAUGUAAAGUGCUUUCAGUUGGGAAGAAAAAAAUGACGGUACCAACAGAAGAAGUGACGGCUAAAUACGUG
RNAcentral lists this ribosomal RNA (454 nucleotides) under uncultured bacterium. Its description in RNAcentral is "partial 16S ribosomal RNA". It matches the Rfam family "Bacterial small subunit ribosomal RNA", at positions 28 to 507 of the family's 1533-position model. The record is from RNAcentral.